Molecule: non-coding RNA, 107 nt
Organism: Acanthosepion pharaonis
Lineage: Eukaryota; Metazoa; Mollusca; Cephalopoda; Sepiida; Sepiidae
Source: the annotation of a GenBank genome assembly
UUACGGUCAUAUCACGUUGAAAAACUGGUUCCCGUAUGUUCACCGAAGUUACGCAUCGUCCAGCCUGGUCAGUACUUAGAUGGGUGACUGGUUGGUAAUACCGGCUG